This 361-nucleotide ribosomal RNA is filed under the name uncultured soil bacterium. RNAcentral describes it as "bacterial SSU rRNA". It matches the Rfam family "Bacterial small subunit ribosomal RNA", at positions 26 to 400 of the family's 1533-position model. The record is from RNAcentral.
AGAACGAACGCUGGCGGCAUGCCUAAUACAUGCAAGUCGAACGAACUCUUCGGAGUUAGUGGCGCACGGGUGCGUAACGCGUGGGAAUCUGCCCCUUGGUUCGGAAUAACAGUUGGAAACGACUGCUAAUACCGGAUGAUGACGAAAGUCCAAAGAUUUAUCGCCAAGGGAUGAGCCCGCGUAGGAUUAGCUAGUUGGUGAGGUAAAGGCUCACCAAGGCAACGAUCCUUAGCUGGUCUGAGAGGAUGAUCAGCCACACUGGGACUGAGACACGGCCCAGACUCCGUACGGGAGCAGCGAGUAGGGGAAUACGUUGGAACAAGUGGGACGAAAGCCUGGAUACCAGCUAAGCGACCGCGGU